Molecule: ribosomal RNA, 483 nt
Filed under: uncultured bacterium
Lineage: Bacteria
Description: partial 16S ribosomal RNA
Rfam family: Bacterial small subunit ribosomal RNA
Source: RNAcentral
AUUGAACGCUGGCGGCAGGCCUAACACAUGCAAGUCGAGCGGAUGAAGGGAGCUUGCUCCUGGAUUCAGCGGCGGAAGGGUGAGUAAUGCCUAGGAAUCUGCCUGGUAGUGGGGGAUAACGUCCGGAAACGGGCGCUAAUACCGCAUACGUCCUGAGGGAGAAAGUGGGGGAUCUUCGGACCUCACGCUCUCAGAUGAGCCUAGGUCGGAUUAGCUAGUUGGUGGGGUAAGGGCUUACUAAGGGGACGAUCCGUAACUAGUCUGCGAGGGUGAUCAGUCACACUGGGACUGAGAGACGGUCCUGGCUCCGACGGGCGGCAGCGAUGGGUAAGAUAGGACGAUGUGCGAAAGCCUGAACCAUCCAGGCCGGGUGUAUGAAGAAAGGCUUCGGGUGGUAUAGCACUUUUAGGUGUGAGAAAGGGCAGUGAGUGAAAACCUGGCUGUGUGGACGUUACCAACAGAGUAAGCACCGGCUAACUUCGG